RNAcentral lists this ribosomal RNA (480 nucleotides) under uncultured bacterium. Its description in RNAcentral is "partial 16S ribosomal RNA". It matches the Rfam family "Bacterial small subunit ribosomal RNA", at positions 28 to 523 of the family's 1533-position model. The record is from RNAcentral.
GAUGAACGCUGGCGGCGUGCUUAACACAUGCAAGUCGAACGGAAAGGUCCCUUCGGGGAUACUCGAGUGGCGAACGGGUGAGUAACACGUGGGCAAUCUGCCCCAGACUUUGGGAUAACCCCGGGAAGCCGGGGCUAAUACCAAAUAUGACCACUUCAGGCAUCUGACGGUGGUGGAAAGUUUUUCGGUCUGGGAUGAGCCCGCGGCCUAUCAGCUUGUUGGUGGGGUAAUGGCCUACCAAGGCGACGACGGGUAGCCGGCCUGAGAGGGCGACCGGCCACACUGGAACUGAGACACGGUCCAGACUCCUACGGGAGGCAGCAGUGGGGAAUAUUGCGCAAUGGGCGAAAGCCUGACGUAGCGACGCCGCGUGAGGGAUGACGGCCUUCGGGUUGUAAGCCUCUUUCAGCAGGGACGAAGCGAAAGUGACUGUACCUGCAGAAGAAGCACCGGCUAACUACGUGCCAGCAGCCGCCGUAA